CUGAUUACCGCCACGGGCUGCCGUUAUAUAACGCGCUGAGCGCGAUGCUAUCAUCCUGUGAAGGCGGCGCGUGACGUAACGUCUUGUGAUGUAAGGCCGUCGCAUUGUUUCCUGCUCGCUGUUGACUGAUUAAUCAAUGUGGUAUUUUUAGCGCUGUGGGCGAGUGUCAGAGCGAGCGGGCCCGUGUUACCGUUCCAGUCCUCCCACAGAUCAAGUCCAAGGCCUUCUGGGUGACAACAAAGCGAUGCUGAAUUUGAAUCAGGCCCCCAACUCCUCCCUCGCCUGAAGAUCCAUCACUGUAAGACAGCAAAACAUCUCUCUGGGCCCGUUUUCCUCCUCUCUCCGUCUCUCCGUCUCUCCCGCAGCGGGGACGGACGGAGGAAGAAUGCUGAGAAUCUCUCAGGGACGCUUCCUAAAUUGUUCACCGUGCAGCCUCCCUCUCACCGCUCUGUGUAAUGGGGCUGCGCAUAGGUGGCACUUAUACGGUGAAUACCAUCAACACUAUUGAACAUGACCCUCUUUCACUCAGGGGCCGGCCUCCAAGCAGCCGCACUCUGGCAAACGGGGGGCUACAGUGGAACACAAAGGGAAACCCCAAGCUACAACAAAGCUUUGGACCUGAGACGGCUUCAUCCUCAUGUUGGCUUUACUGUAGAUUUCCAAGCAGUUCGUUGCCACAUUCAGACCAAGUGGAUACAUUUGAAGUUCAGUGUAACGUCAUUCACACGGACAAAUGAUGUCAUUCAGCGUCGUCACACGCCACAGAGACUCAAAACACUUGGAACUUAACCCAGCAGACAACACGCGUUCACCUCCCUAAUGAAUGCAGCAAUCCCAUCAAUCAGAACUGCAUCCCGUGAUGGUGUCCACGGCAACAAGACCAGAGCGCUGCAGCCACCAAAAGGAAAAGAAAGGGGAAAAAAAGAAGAGAGAGAAUGACUAAAUCUACAAUGAUUGCCUGGUGGGGAGCACAGUGGAUGCAUCAGUAUGAUGUGGUAAUUGCCUGGACAUGCUAGUGAGGGCAAAGAGCACAUUAUUUAUAGAGGAGACGGGAACAACAUGACAGGAAACAAUUUGUAUGGAAGCGUGUGUGUGUGUGUGCGUGUGUGUGUGUGUGUGCGUGCGCGAGCCAAUACUCCAACAGGAGAGAGUUUGACCUUCAUGUAGGAGUGCUGGAGUUGACACAAGCAUGUCUGCACUGGGACAAGAGCUCAGGUUUAACAGGCAUAUUGAAAAGGUCAGAGCUGCCAUUCACCCAAACACACACUCACACACACACACACACGUGAAAGUGCACACACAGGCAAAGUUGGUUCGCACGCGCGCGCACACGCACGCAGGGAGGCAGCGGGCGCAUGCCAAAACGGUGAACCAUGUCAAAUUAAAAGAGAAGUGUGUGAGCUCGCUGCCCAUCUCCUUCAGCGGCUGACUUAAAAAACACACACACACACCAGGGCGACGCAACACACACACACACACACAUACACAAUUUGGGCAGCUGCCAAAAAUCCACGGCGUUGGCAGUUUUUGCCCGGUAUUAUUUUUCACCCUCCUUCCUCAGACACAUGAGCCCACACCCAGACAGGGUCAUUGGCGUAUAAAGUUGUUUUGGUCUGUUUAUAGAUUGUGAUUGGUCGUUGGGUUGCUAGCCAAAAAAAAAAAAAAAAGUUUUUUUUUUCCCGCUGUAGUAACAG
Betta splendens (Siamese fighting fish) is the source of this 1694-nucleotide long non-coding RNA. RefSeq lists it as uncharacterized. The transcript has 3 exons. The record is from RefSeq and is a predicted model, not a curated record. NCBI's taxonomy places the organism in Eukaryota, Metazoa, Chordata, Actinopteri, Anabantiformes, Osphronemidae.